GACGAACGCUGGCGGCGUGCUUCAUACAUGCAAGUCGAACGAGAAGCUGACUUCGGUCAGUGGAAAGUGGCGGACGGGUGAGUAAUAUGUAGGAAUCUGCCUUAGAGAGGGGGACAACAGAGGGAAACUUCUGCUAAUACCCCAUAUGAGCGUACCUGAAAUGGUAUUCUUGAAAACUCCGGUGCUCUAAGAUGAGCCUGCAUCUGAUUAGCUUGUUGGUGGGGUAAUGGCCUACCAAGGCGACGAUCAGUAGCUGGUUUGAGAGGAUGAUCAGCCACAAUGGGACUGAGACACGGCCCAUACUCCUACGGGAGGCAG
This 318-nucleotide ribosomal RNA is filed under the name uncultured cyanobacterium. RNAcentral's name for it is "bacterial SSU rRNA". It matches the Rfam family "Bacterial small subunit ribosomal RNA", at positions 28 to 351 of the family's 1533-position model. The record is from RNAcentral. Lineage: Bacteria; Bacillati; Cyanobacteriota.